UUGUGAGGAAAUGUCCCACUUGUUCUUUUUUACAAUCAGAUUCCAUUACUAGCAAGAUGUAACCCAAAGGGUACUCAAAGGAAUGAACUCUGGCAGAUAGAUGUGUUUCACUUUGUAGAAUUUGGAAAAUAGAAAUAUGUACAUCACACCAUUGAUACCUAUUCAGGAUUUCAAUGGGUGACUGCUCUGAGUUCUGAAAAAGCUGAUUCAGUAAUCACGCGUUUGCUAGAAGUUACGGCCAUCAUAGGAGAAGAAAAAGCUGUGGACACCAUCAAAAUUGAUAAAGGUUUGAUUUGAAUAAGAGAGACCUCUUAAUUAGAAGAGGUGAUAGUUCAUCAACCAGCAUGACCAUCCAAUUUAAACUAACUUAUACCACUAACAAAUGCUUUUCAUUUAAUCAGAUAUAACUUGCCAAAAGGGAACCUCCCCAAAGUUAGGCUUGGGGAAGGGUUUUUGGUUUUGUCUUUCAGGAAAAUGAAGGCUAAGGAAUCUGAAGAACACUGGAUAAAUGGGACAUCUGAAGAAAAAGGACAAAUCAUCUAGAAAAAAAAUGUCCCAAGAAAAAGAGUAAAGUGGCCUAUUGUUUUCUGCAGGGAAUCAAUACCAGGCCUAACAGCAAAUUUGAAAUGUCCAGAAAGAUGAUGGGCCCCACAGUGAUGAUUCCACGUGGACAAUAAUAAUACCACUAAGCUGACAAACAUCACCCAAAGAUCAUCUUUGGACUACAAACUGCUCAGGACAAUUUCGAGAUGGCUAGCUGAGAUGAUCCAGCUUCACAGACUAUUCUAGCAAAGACUUGAGAUAAGCCCUGCACUUUUGCAUUAUGCAUAGACUAGACAACAAAUGAUACAGCUAUCUCUCUUAGGACUUGACAAUUAACCCAAAAUUUUUCUUUUCAGAAUCCCCUAAAGAUGCCUCCGCCCACAAACAGCAGGAAGCAAUUUUAAGAACACAAUGACCACAUUCCCAAGAGACAUGUCUGCUCCUGGCAGCACCAAUCUACUUCAGAGAAGAUAUGGGCAUUGAAGAAAAUGCAUAUGGAGUUAACUUUCAUUGCAGUAAAAGUUAGCCACUGGGCAAGAAAGUGCCCUUGCACUGGCUGCUGACAGUAUGCUGUCCAAAAUGGACAAACAGGACACAAAACAAAGGACUACUGAUCCUUGCCAAGACAAGUGUGGUUGUGGCUUUAGCAACAAGCAUCCUCCAAGGAACCAUCGCUGAAGUGGCUUUGCAAUUCAGAAAAGGUACAGUGCCCCUUUCUUCAAAGGCAGCUGAACAGGCAAUGGACCAAUGGCUUCUGGUGUGCAGUGGAACAGUAGCUGAAACAGUUAUUCUUGAAAGAGUAACUAGGCUGACAGAGUCUAUCCUCUCAAUGGUAGACUGGCAUUUAAUAAAGGAGAUGAAGCCACCCACAAGCCAGGAAGAAUGGGAUGCCAAGAUAAAGCCACACACAAGCCAAGAAGAAUUGGCAGCUGAAUUCCAAAAACACCAGCAAUUUCCAGAAUUUAAAAUCCUGAAUCAUGACAGGUCACUGGUGGAAUUCAGGCUUAUCUGGUACAUGGAAUACUCACACCCAAAGUAAGGUUGAGCUGUAAGCCUUGUGUACAUCCUACUUCAUAAAUGAGUCUGUCAGAUAUGAUAAGCCUGAAGGCCAAAGAUGAUGUCCCAAUGUUCAGAGAAACCUGGGGUGACUGUCCAGGAAGCUGGCUGUUUCCAUCAUAACUCAUUUUUUGAAAGUCACUUGUUUGCACUUCCUGUUUUCCUAGAUAACAUUAUUUCCUUCUUGGGUCUCUGAGGGAGUUCAAGAUUAGAUAGUUAUAGUUACAGUUUUCCUUGUUAAGAAAUUCAGAAAAGAAACUCACUAAGAGGUGUUAAGUGUAUAAGUUUGAAAGACACCAUAAGAUAGUUUCCUGUUGGUAGUAUAAGUUAGGAUAGAAAGUGAAAAGUACAUUUUGGACUCAUCAAAAUAGGAUAGAUAAUGGAACAUUUUCUCUAAAUUUGUCAAAUACAAAUGGACUAGACAUUGUUGAUGUAUUUACUGCUUGUAUAUACUAUAUAUAGUUAUUGUACUUACUAUAUAUAGUUUUUCUUAUAUUAGUUAUAACUUUAAAUUGUUUUUCUUUUUAUUAGACAAAAAAGGGGAAAUGUAGUGAUAUUUUAUUUGUGCUGAAAUGUGGUGAUAUUUAUUUGUGCUUUGAUAAAUAAAUCUUGCCUGGAGAAUCAGAGGAAAAAGAAAGCCAUUAUAAGUAAACAAAGAAGUCAGGCAGUGGUAGCACACGCCCUUAAUCCUAUCACUUAGCAGGCAGGAUCUCUGUGAGUUCAAGGCCACACAGGAAACAGAGCCAAGCGUGGUAGCACAUGCCUUAGCUCCACAGCAAGGCACAUAGUCGUGGGUAGACAGGAAGUAACUCACAUUUG
This is a long non-coding RNA of Peromyscus eremicus (cactus mouse), 2418 nucleotides long. RefSeq lists it as uncharacterized. The record is from RefSeq and is a predicted model, not a curated record. The transcript has 4 exons. NCBI's taxonomy places the organism in Eukaryota, Metazoa, Chordata, Mammalia, Rodentia, Cricetidae.